Gossypium raimondii (Peruvian cotton) is the source of this 106-nucleotide non-coding RNA. Lineage: Eukaryota; Viridiplantae; Streptophyta; Magnoliopsida; Malvales; Malvaceae. The record is from Rfam.
AUCUCGUGGUGAGGACAUUUGCAUUGGAACUCUUUGGAUCUUUCCCAUGCCUCGUAUAGGGAUUCGUCAUCCAUUUGCUGAAACGUAGUGAUCUCAUUUUGCAACU